This 480-nucleotide ribosomal RNA is filed under the name uncultured bacterium. Its description in RNAcentral is "partial 16S ribosomal RNA". It matches the Rfam family "Bacterial small subunit ribosomal RNA", at positions 28 to 507 of the family's 1533-position model. The record is from RNAcentral.
GACGAACGCUGGCGGCGCGCUUAACACAUGCAAGUCGAGCGAUGAAACUUUAACAGAACCCUUCGGGGCGAAGAUAAAGUGGAUUAGCGGCGGACGGGUGAGUAACACGUGAGUAACCUGCCUUAGACAUUGGGAUAGCCUCGGGAAACCGGGAUUAAUACCAAAUAAAAUCAUAAUGACACAUGUCAUAACGAUCAAAACUCCGUGGGUCUAAGAUGGACUCGCGUCCCAUUAGCUAGUUGGUAGAGUAAAAGCCUACCAAGGCGACGAUGGGUAGCCAGCCUGAGAGGGUGAACGACCACAAUGGAACUGAGAAACGGUCCAAACUCCUACGGGAGGCAGCAGUAGGGAAUAUUGCACAAUGGAGGGAACUCUGAUGCAGCGACGCCGCGUGAACGAAGAAGGCUUUCGAGUCGUAAAGUUCUUUUAUAUGGGAAGAUAAUGACGGUACCAUAAGAAAAAGCCCCGGCUAACUACGUG